AGUGGGAUAGCUGGGUCAAAUGGUGGUUUCAUUCCAGGUUUCUAAGGAAUCUCCAUACUGCUUUCCAGAUUGGUUACACCAAUUUGCGGUCCCACCAGCAAU
Molecule: microRNA precursor, 102 nt
Filed under: Marmota monax (woodchuck)
Lineage: Eukaryota; Metazoa; Chordata; Mammalia; Rodentia; Sciuridae
Source: RNAcentral